RNAcentral lists this long non-coding RNA (612 nucleotides) under Homo sapiens (human). Its description in RNAcentral is "non-protein coding lnc-L3HYPDH-1:4". The record is from RNAcentral. Lineage: Eukaryota; Metazoa; Chordata; Mammalia; Primates; Hominidae.
AAAUUUUAAAUGUGCUAACAGCUAAGUAAUGAAUCUUAUCUCAGUAGUAAAUGAAAUCUACUACAGAAUGAUCUACAUUCAGUAAAUUAUUCUACUCAUAAAGAGUCCUUUAACAUAGCAAACAAUCUAUCCUAAUAUAGCUGUUUUUAAGAUUUGGUGUUUCUGAAUAUUAGAGUUUCCUUAAGGAUCUCUACAUCAUAUAGUGAUCUGAAACAUGUGAAACCAUUUAUGUUGUAUGCAAAAAUUUGGAACAUACUGUCUUCAAAAUCUGAAAUGGAACAUAAAAAUAACAACAUACAUUUAUUGGAUACUUCACUGUGCAUCAGUUUCCAAGCUAAGCACUUGAUACAUGCCAUCUCAUUUAAUCCUCACAAGAAUCCUACAAGGAAGCGAAAUGUGGUGAUUUUAAAGCUGUUAUAGUGGAAGUAUCAGGACAAGCCCAUUACACGGGUACAGCAAGCUUUAUAAUAGAAGAUGACGACCCAUUGAGGGAUGGAUUUCUUCUCAAGUGACUUCUUCCAUGAUUUUAAGGGCUUUCUUUUUAAAGUAAUCAUUAUCCUUAAGGACUGUUUUCUCUAAAUUAUAUGAAAACAAAUAAAUUAUACAUAUAAA